CAUUGAGGUGAAGUGACUUGCCCAAAGCUUACACAGAUAGAAAACGUCCAAGGUCAGAUUUUAACCCAGGACCGCCCAUCUCCAGAUCUGUCUCUCUAUCCAUUGAGCAACCUAUUGCCCUUCUCUCUCCCUCAUCCCACCCCUAUUAAUACCUUUGUAGGGAAAGCAGUGAUUUCACUGCUGGUAAGAAACAGGACAAAUAUCCACAGAUUGUAUGGACUUAAGUUAAUGACCAGGAGUAGGAAGAAAAAUGAAAGGAAGCUUCUCACCCUAAGAGAGGGUAAUUUACUACCUAAUAUCACCUAAUUUAAACUCUAGCUACUUAGGCAGAAGAAAAGCAGUUAAAAAGACAGGUUUCAUGUUCCUGGAUUUCUCUAAGUAACAGUAAACUGUGGGGUCUGAGUCAUAAAAGAACAAUAGACCAUGCACUCAACUAAAAAAAGCUGAGACUGUUCCCCCACCAGAUAAGGCCACAUAGCAACUACUAUUUGGCAAAGAACCAUGGACAAAGAAAGCUACCAGUAGAUGUCACAAUAACAAAAAGAAUAGACUGACUGAAAAUUCCAGCAUUUUGAGGCAAUGAAGAAAGCAACACAUACCUUGAUGACAUUGCCAGACCAACCAGCUGACCUUGCUGGCUAGAGAGGAAGCAUGCUGCUGCAGCACUGGACCAGGAGAGCUUCCAACAGGGAGGCAGCCUGAAGGGCAUCUAGCCUGAGGGCUCUUCCACCAACAAUGGGAGAACAGACUUUUCAUCUGGUGGUGGUGUUAACUCCGUUUCACCUUUGCCAUGGAUGUCGAGAGGAAGAGAGAAUAAACAAUGAGGUAAACCUGGCAUCAAAUAAUAAUUAACAAUAACAAUAAUACAAAUGAGAAAAAAAGAGGCCAAGUCAACUGAUGGUGAUCUGAUUCACCUCCAAACCAGUCAGUUGGAUGUGAAAAUAUUGUGUGUGUUUGGCAUCCAUUUGAGACCCGCAAGAGAAAUCCCAAUCUCAAGGAGAAUGUGAAGCAAAACCAAAUAAGACGGAGCUGAAAAGCAGUGAGGAGAUGGAAGUGAGCCUCAUUCGUGAAGGCUAGGACUGUGGGUAGGAAGGAGGCGGACUUUGAUGUGGUUGCUAUUGUUGGCUUGUAUUUAAAUACUUGAUAACUUGUGA
Long non-coding RNA from Monodelphis domestica (gray short-tailed opossum), 1154 nucleotides. RefSeq lists it as uncharacterized. Lineage: Eukaryota; Metazoa; Chordata; Mammalia; Didelphimorphia; Didelphidae. The record is from RefSeq and is a predicted model, not a curated record.